RNAcentral lists this ribosomal RNA (1833 nucleotides) under human oral metagenome. Its description in RNAcentral is "bacterial LSU rRNA". It matches the Rfam family "Bacterial large subunit ribosomal RNA", at positions 830 to 2493 of the family's 2925-position model. The record is from RNAcentral.
CAAUCAGACUCCGUGAUAGCUGGUUCUCCCCGAAAUGCAUUUUGGUGCAGCGUCGCGUGUUGCCCGGCGGAGGUAGAGCUACUGGGUGGCUGAGGGGCCCCACAGGGUUACUGACGUCAGCCAAACUCCGAAUGCCGUGCGGGUUCCAGCGUGGCAGUGAGACCGCGGGGGAUAAGCUUCGUGGUCGAGAGGGAAACAGCCCGGACCGUCGGCUAAGGCCCCUAAGCGUGCGCUAAGUGGGAAAGGAUGUGCGGUCGCGCAGACAGCCAGGAGGUUGGCUUAGAAGCAGCCAUCCUUGAAAGAGUGCGUAAUAGCUCACUGGUCGAGUGGUCGUGCGCCGACAAUUCAGCGGGGCUCAAGCGCGCCGCCGAAGCCGCGGACCCGCACACCCGUGUGCGGGUGGUAGGGGAGCGUCCUGCGCGGGGCGAAGCCCGGGGGUGACCCGUGGGUGGACCGCGCGGGAGUGAGAAUGCAGGCAUGAGUAGCGAGACCGGGGUGAGAGUCCCCGGCGCCGAGAGACCAAGGGUUCCAGGGGCAGGUUCGUCCUCCCUGGGUGAGUCGGGACCUAAGGCGAGGCCGACAGGCGUAGUCGAUGGAUGACGGGUUGAUAUUCCCGUACCGGUCAGGCACCGACCAUGCUGACGCGCGGGUGCUGACCCACGCCGCCGCUGCCGCUGUUGCGCCCACCCCCCAUUGCGGGGGGCGGGCCGCGGCCGGUGGUCUGGGGACCCUCCGCGCUGGUAGGCAAGCGUGUUAACAGGGGUGACGCACAGUGGUAGCCCGGCGGGCCUGAUGGCUUGGCCCGUUCAAGCGCGCAGCCCGGUCCCCAGGCAAAUCCGGGGACCAGCCCCCCACCGGGGGGCGCGGGUGAGGCGUGAUGGUGACCCCGCCCACGCGGCGGGGGAUAACAGGGUGAUCCUGGGGUGCCGAGAAAAGCCUCGACGCGAUGGUGACGGCCGCCCGUACCCCACACCGACACAGGUGGUCCGGCAGAGUAUGCCUAGGCGAGCGAGUGAACCGUGGUGAAGGAACUCGGCAAAUUGCCCCCGUAACUUCGGGAGAAGGGGGGCCCGGGCCCUGAAGCAGCAGGCCUGCUAGGGGCGAGGGCCGCAGAGAGCAGGGGGGAGCGACUGUUUACUAAAAACACAGGUCCGUGCGAAGCCGCAAGGCGAUGUAUACGGACUGACGCCUGCCCGGUGCUGGAAGGUUAAGAGGAUCCCUCAACCCCACCCGUGGGGUGAAGGGGUGAGUUCAAGCCCCAGUAAACGGCGGUGGUAACUAUAACCAUCCUAAGGUAGCGAAAUUCCUUGUCGGGUAAGUUCCGACCUGCACGAAUGGCGUAACGACUUCCCCACUGUCUCCACCACGGACUCGGCGAAAUUGCACUACGAGUAAAGAUGCUCGUUACGCGCAGAAGGACGGAAAGACCCCGGGACCUUUACUACAACUUGGUAUUGGCGUCCGCCACGGCUUGUGCAGGAUAGGUGGGAGACCACGACCCCGAUCGCGCCAGCGACGGGCGAGUCACUGUUGAGAUACCACUCUGGCCGCGGCGUGCGCCUGAACCUCGGCCCGUGACCCGGGCCAGGGACAGUGCCUGGCGGGUAGUUUAACUGGGGCGGUUGCCUCCCAAAAAGUAACGGAGGCGCUCAAAGGUCCCCUCAGCCUGGUCGGCAACCAGGUGGCGAGUGCAAGUGCACAAGGGGGCUUGACUGCGAGACCGACGGGUCGGGCAGGUGCGAAAGCAGGAACUAGUGAUCCGGCGAUCCCGCGUGGGCGGGUCGUCGCUCAACGGAUAAAAGGUACCCCGGGGAUAACAGGCUGAUCCUGCCC